UUGAUCUGAAAUCAGGCGGGAUUACCCGCUGAACUU
Molecule: ribosomal RNA, 36 nt
Filed under: zygomycete sp. FFI 9
Lineage: Eukaryota; Fungi; Mucoromycota
Description: partial 28S ribosomal RNA
Source: RNAcentral